AAACUGUAGGGAAGAUACCAUGAUUAUCAAUGUUUUCUCCAGGUGAGGCUUAUUCAUUGCAUGCCAGAUGGGCUGACCCCUGUGUAAAUUUGACUGCAUAAUUUGUGGUAGUGACC
This 116-nucleotide small nuclear RNA is filed under the name Meriones unguiculatus (Mongolian gerbil). RNAcentral describes it as "U1 spliceosomal RNA (ENSMUGG00000019962.1)". Lineage: Eukaryota; Metazoa; Chordata; Mammalia; Rodentia; Muridae. The record is from RNAcentral.